AUUGAACGCUGGCGGCAUGCCUUACACAUGCAAGUCGAACGGCAGCACGGGUGCUUGCACCUGGUGGCGAGUGGCGAACGGGUGAGUAAUACAUCGGAACAUGUCCUGUAGUGGGGGAUAGCCCGGCGAAAGCCGGAUUAAUACCGCAUACGAUCUACGGAUGAAAGCGGGGGACCUUCUGGCCUCGCGCUAUAGGGUUGGCCGAUGGCUGAUUAGCUAGUUGGUGGGGUAAAGGCCUACCAAGGCGACGAUCAGUAGCUGGUCUGAGAGGACGACCAGCCACACUGGGACUGAGACACGGCCCAGACUCCUACGGGAGGCAGCAGUGGGGAAUUUUGGACAAUGGGCGAAAGCCUGAUCCAGCAAUGCCGCGUGUGUGAAGAAGGCCUUCGGGUUGUAAAGCACUUUUGUCCGGAAAGAAAUCCUUGGCUCUAAUACAGUCGGGGGAUGACGGUACCGGAAGAAUAAGCACCGGCUAACUACGUG
Molecule: ribosomal RNA, 486 nt
Filed under: uncultured bacterium
Lineage: Bacteria
Description: partial 16S ribosomal RNA
Rfam family: Bacterial small subunit ribosomal RNA
Source: RNAcentral